Long non-coding RNA from Quercus lobata, 650 nucleotides. RefSeq lists it as uncharacterized. Lineage: Eukaryota; Viridiplantae; Streptophyta; Magnoliopsida; Fagales; Fagaceae. The transcript has 3 exons. The record is from RefSeq and is a predicted model, not a curated record.
CUGCUCUCUCUCACCGCACAACCAUCUGCUCACUACUCUCUCUUUCUUUCUUUCUCUCAACUCCAAAGCUCCACAACCACUACUUAGCAUCGCCGCCGGAGCUAGGCUACCAAACUUCACCAAUUCCAACGAGACUGACCUUUGUCUCUUCGGAAAACCCCAAAAUCGUAUCUCCUUCUCGUUGCUUCCAAACCUCGACGGCGGAGGUUUUUUCCCCUCUUCCAAAACCUAAAGUCGCAAGAAGUUACUAAAUCAUAUUGUGUGAGCUGCCUCCUGAACACCCUAUCUCUAACAUUAGACCUCUACGAGAUUCACUCAAUCUUCUCUUCAGAUUGUCUAAGAUUUUGCUUGUUUAUAAUGGCUGUCAUAGAAAAUAAAAUUCAGUGGCAUAUAGUGGUGCUGGAGCAGCCACACAUAAGCAAUGGCCUAAGGACUAUACUUGAAGACGUGCUGGACUUAGCAAAUGAGAUUGACCAAGUUUCAUUUGGGUUAGGAGAGAUGUAAAUCAAGUAGCUUAUGAGCUUGCUAAGUGGGGCUUUGUUAACAAUUGGAAUGGUUUUGUAAAUUGUGGUCUUACUUGAUUGUCUGAUAUAUGUGAUCAUGAAGGAUGCUCUAGGUUGUACAAUUUCAAUUUCGUUCUUUAUAAUAAA